RNAcentral lists this ribosomal RNA (395 nucleotides) under uncultured bacterium. RNAcentral describes it as "bacterial SSU rRNA". It matches the Rfam family "Bacterial small subunit ribosomal RNA", at positions 28 to 416 of the family's 1533-position model. The record is from RNAcentral.
GACGAACGCUGGCGGCGCGCUUAACACAUGCAAGUCGAGCGAGAACCAGGGCUUCGGCUCUGGGGACAGCGGCGAACGGGUGAGUAACACGCGAGUAAUCUGCCCUCGACACUGGGAUAGCCCGGGGAAACCCGGAUUAAUACCGGAUAGCCUUUCGAGCUCUCGGGCUCGUCAGAAAAGGAUGGCUUCGGCUUUCGGUUGAGGAUGAGCUUGCGGCGGAUUAGCUUGUUGGUGAGGAACGGCUCACCAAGGCGACAAUCCGUAGCUGGCCUGAGAGGACGAUCGGCCACACUGGGACUGAGACACGGCCCAGACUCCUACGGGAGGCAGCAGUGGGGAAUCUUGCGCAAUGAGCGAAAGCUUGACGCAGCGACGCCGCGUGAGGGAAGAAGGCC